This 468-nucleotide ribosomal RNA is filed under the name uncultured bacterium. Its description in RNAcentral is "partial 16S ribosomal RNA". It matches the Rfam family "Bacterial small subunit ribosomal RNA", at positions 36 to 507 of the family's 1533-position model. The record is from RNAcentral.
UCCUCCCUCUUUCUUCGUGCUUAACACAUGCAAGUCGAACGGAAAGGCCCUGCUUUUGUGGGGUGCUCGAGUGGCGAACGGGUGAGUAACACGUGAGUAACCUGCCCUUGACUUUGGGAUAACUUCAGGAAACUGGGGCUAAUACCGGAUAGGAGCUCCUGCUGCAUGGUGGGGGUUGGAAAGUUUCGGCGGUUGGGGAUGGACUCGCGGCUUAUCAGCUUGUUGGUGGGGUAGUGGCUUACCAAGGCUUUGCAGGGUAGCCGGCCUGAGCGGGUGACCGGCCACAUUGGGACUGAGAUACGGCCCAGACUCCUACGGGAGGCAGCAGUGGGGAAUAUUGCACAAUGGGCGGAAGCCUGAUGCAGCAACGCCGCGUGCGGGAUGACGGCCUUCGGGUUGUAAACCGCUUUCGCCUGUGACGAAGCGUGAGUGACGGUAAUGGGUAAAGAAGCACCGGCUAACUACGUG